GCGGGUGGGUGCGCCUCGGGCCGCUGGGCUUGUCGCCGCCGCCGCCGCCUCUGCGGCCGCGUCAGAACUGGAGGGAGGAAGGGGAGGAGCCGAGUGGAGCCCGAGCGGCCGCCCGAUCUCACCCCGACCCGAGGGCGGCGGAGAGGGCUGGCUCUCUAGUGGUUUCCUACGGGGCAGGUGGUGACUGCUCCUUGGGGAGCCCGGAGGAGGGAGGCCCGCUGAAGGUGAGGCCUCGGGCCCCAAACAGGCCUUGGAGGAGCUGUCCCACUGCCCGAUCCGCGCGCUGCACCUGUUCCAGGGAGCGAGCGCCCCACCCUUUCCGCGGUGUGGGGCGCGCCCCAGCGCCGGAGAACGCGGAGUCGGCCCGAGUAGAUGUGUAGUGAGUGAAUGAAUGAAUGAACGAAUGAACGAACGAACGAACGAAGGCGAGAACACUCGCGGAGCUCAGGGGAGUGGACGGAGUGUUGGCGCUUUGCUAACUACACAGCAUUGUAACGAUGGCAGACUCACAGAGAAUCAGACCAUCAAAACACAUGACUACAACACAAAUCUUUUAUGGUUUUCCCUGUCUUCCUGAUUUCCUGAUGGAAAUUGAAGGAAUAAGAUGCACAGAUUUAGGGGAUUUUGUGAGGCUGGGCACCUCAGAUUUUAGUUCUGAGAGGUUUUUAUAAUAUUUUUCUCCCAUUGGUUUUAGAGAGAAGAGAGAGCGAGUGCGAGAGCGAGAGCGAGAGAGAGAGAGAGAGAGAGAGAGAGAAGCAUCGAUCGAUUGCCUCCCAUACACGCCCUAAGCCUGACCCUGGAUCCAACACCAUCUAGGUAAGUGCCCUGACCAGAAUUGAACCUGCCACCUUCCGGUGUACUGGACAAUGCUCCAACCAACUGAUCCACACCGGCCAGGGCAGUUCUGUGGGUUUUGAAUAAAAAGGGUGCAACCUAGUCAAGUACACCUCAAGGAAAGUGUGUACCAGGUGGACUUUUUCAGCAGCCUGAUCUUAGAACCGUAGUGCUGAAGACAGAAUGGCACCCUGGAGAGCCCUCCGCCACCCACCACCUACAACCUACAUCAAAAGAACCAGCUGCACUAGACUUACUGGAAAAGAUCCACCCACCUCACCACCCAGCAUGAUAACCAGAGGAAACAGCUGGAACUGGCGACUGGAAAAGAGGAAGUUCAUACAUAUCCAACUUGGUCUGCAACUUUUUAGUUCUUUUAUUUUUUUUUCUUUAUUGAUUAAUCCAGAGGAGGAAAUAGCUAGUUUUCAAAAUUCAAAAAACUUUGGAGUUUUAGGUAACAGUUGUUUUCUGGUCCAUCAAUUUGUUUCUGAUAGAGAUCUGCUUUCUAUGUUAAAAUAUGACAACGGGGUAUUUUUCUCCUAUACUUGAAAGUGAGCUCUUAUGGGGAAUUAAUCAGUGUUUUAUUAGCCCACAUCAGUGGUUUUACUAUUAAAGAUUUCUUAAGUAAAUUAUCUGGCAAAAUUUCUUUCUACAAAUACCAUUUACAGUAUUUGGUUUCUUUUAGAUUUUUUAUUGUGAAAUAUACAUUACAAUGCAUAAAGCAGUUACUCCGUAUAAUGAGUAAUUAUAAAGUAAACCUUCAUGUGACCAACCAGAUCAAGAACUGGAACAUUGCCAGCACCCCAAAAUCCCCCUGUUGACCUUCCUGAACACAACUCAUCCCCUCUUUUUCAGAGGUAACCCUUAUUCUAUCUUCUGUGAUAAGUAUUUCCUUGCUUUUUUCUCUAUUGUUUUAUCACAAACAUGCAUCCCUAAACAAUAUAUCGUUUGGUUUUGUCCUUCCUUUUGAACUUUAUGAAAUGGAAAACCCUAAUAUGUAAUCUAUUAUUCUGGUACUUACCGCUUUAGCUCAACAUUGUUUUUAAUCCAUAUGUUGUUUAGGUUGUUCAUAUAGCUUUAAUUUGUUCAUUUUAAUUGCUGAAUAUUACAGUGUUCCAUUGUAGUAUAUGCCAUGAUUUACUUAACCAUUCUAUUGUUGAUAGAUAUCUGGAUUGUUUCUAGUUUGGAAGGAACUGCUAUACCUGCUGCUGUGAACAUUCUUCCGAUGUAUUCUAUCAUGCCUAUAUCAGUUUCUGUAUAGUAUAUACCUGGAAGUGGAUGUGCAUAUCAUAAACUUGAAUAAAUAAUGCCAAGCUCUUUCUAAUGUGUUAUAAUCACA
Molecule: long non-coding RNA, 2173 nt
Organism: Myotis davidii
Lineage: Eukaryota; Metazoa; Chordata; Mammalia; Chiroptera; Vespertilionidae
Exons: 2
Source: RefSeq, a predicted model, not a curated record